Molecule: unclassified non-coding RNA, 395 nt
Filed under: soil metagenome
Description: partial contains 5.8S ribosomal RNA, internal transcribed spacer 2, and large subunit ribosomal RNA
Rfam family: 5.8S ribosomal RNA (bases 1-121)
Source: RNAcentral
GAUGAAGAACGUAGCGAACGUGCGAAACGUAAUGUGAAUUGCAGAAUUCAGUGAAUCAUCGAAUCUUUGAACGCAUCUUGCGCUCCUUGGUAUUCCGAGGAGCAUGCCUGUUUGAGUGUCGUGAAUACUCUCAACUUCAACCCUUUUUUCGGAAAGGGAGGAAGGUUGGACUUGGGUGUUUGUUGAAGUGCGAGCUUCGACUCAUCCUAAAUGCAUUAGCGAUCUGCCUCGAUCACACACAAUGUGAUAAUUAAAACUAAAGCAUUGUUUAAUGAUCAAGUCGAGACUGCUUCUAACUGUUGCAAGACAAUAACGUGCAUACAUUUGUGCAUGUCAUUUGACCUCAAAUCAGGUAGGACUACCCGCUGAACUUAAGCAUAUCAAUAAGCGGAGGA